RNAcentral lists this ribosomal RNA (379 nucleotides) under Phylloscopus collybita (eurasian chiffchaff). RNAcentral describes it as "partial 16S ribosomal RNA". It matches the Rfam family "Bacterial large subunit ribosomal RNA", at positions 2019 to 2555 of the family's 2925-position model. The record is from RNAcentral. Lineage: Eukaryota; Metazoa; Chordata; Aves; Passeriformes; Phylloscopidae.
UCUCUUACAGGCAAUCGGUAAAUUGAUCUCCCUGUGCGAAAGCAGGGAUGCACACAUAAGACGAGAAGGCCCUGUGGAACUUCAAAAACAGCGACCACCCCCAAAAUACAUCUACCCCCACCCCGGGCUCACUUAUCCCACGGGCUACUGGUUCGCAUUUUUUCGGUUGGGGCGACCUUGGAGCAAAACAGAACCUCCAAAAAUUAGACCAAACCUCUAGACUGAGAGCAACACCUCUACGUGCUAAUAGCACCCAGACCCAAUAUAAUUGAUCAAUGGACCAAGCUACCCCAGGGAUAACAGCGCAAUCUCCUCCAAGAGUCCAUAUCGACGAGGAGGUUUACGACCUCGAUGUUGGAUCAGGACAUCCUAGUGGCUG